UUCUAAGAAUUUGCUUUCUUGUUUAUCAGACAGUUCAAAAUAUGGUAGUUUCAGGGAGCUGCUGGCAGGCUGACAACAUGCCAUGAGAUUCCCAUGAGCAAGAUGCUGCCAAAGCAAUGAGUGUGUUCACAAGGAAAGGCCACAUCACCCCGGUGGGGUAGACGGAGUUCCCUCUAAAGGGCAUCUUUGGAUAAUGAUCCUUCCGCAGGUUCACCUACGGAAA
This 223-nucleotide unclassified non-coding RNA is filed under the name uncultured fungus. Its description in RNAcentral is "sequence contains ITS1". Lineage: Eukaryota; Fungi. The record is from RNAcentral.